AUCCUUUCAUCUUGCUCUGGUAUCAAACUCUCUGCAAUCCAUAGCCUAAACAAUUUAUGCGUGGGAAUGGGGUGGUCUUCAGGGAACUGUCUGAGAUGGAGAAAACAAGAUUUGAGGUAAUAUGGCAAAUCGUUGUAACUCAAAGCCAGUUUAGCUGAUACCCCAUUUGGGUCUUGAGCAAAGAACGAGCUCAUAUUGGAAAGAACCCUUUUCCAUUCUCCCACAUUUCUUUUUCUUGAAAGCAAUCCUCCCAUCACAAUGAUGGCUAGUGGUAAACCAGCACAUUUUUCAACAAUCUCCUCCCCAAUUUCCUCCAACUGUGGGGAACGAUGGGCAUCAGCGCUAUCAAUGAAAGCUUUCCUGCAGAACAACAUCCAGCCAUUUUCUUCGCUCAGAAAAUGCAAGUCGUAGGGAACGCUUCUAGCAUCAGCUUUGAUGGCAAUACUCCUGUUGCGAGUCGUAAGCAUCACUCUGCUUCCAUUACUUCUGUGUGGAAAGGCCUCAGACAGAGAAUUCCAUGCUUCUAUGCUCCAUACAUCAUCCAAGACCACCAAAUACCGUUUUUUUCGAAGGUGGUCAUAGAGAACUUCUUCCAAUUCUUCUUCCCGCAAAGAUUCCAACUUUCGUCCUGUUGUCGCCACUUGCUUUAUAAUUGCCUGAAGUAUGUCUCUGGUACUGAAUUCCUGGGAUACAUAGACCCAUGCUCGGGUAGGAAAACGAGCCUGGAUUUCACCAUGAUUGUAAACCUUUUUGGCAAGAGUGGUCUUGCCAAUGCCUCCCAUUCCGACUAUUGAAAUUGCAUGCCAUUGGUCCUCAGUUUGGACAAGUUGUGUCAGCAGCUUAGCUAUAUCCUCGUCCAGGCUAACAAUAUCCUUUUCUUCACCGCGAGGAGAUGAUCUUCUCUGCUUCCGGAGCCUCUUCUUUGCAGUGCUCCCUUCUCCAAUGUUCUUGAUACCAUACUUUUCACGACUCUCAGAUAUAUCAGGGAUUCUUCCCUGGAUGGCCAUGAGUUCCUUCGCAAUCUUGGAGCGAUGUUUCCAAUCUAGGAAAAUGGAAGCACACCUUCUGAUGGGGUUCUUUUUCUUGACGGAAUCAAUUCUGAGGAUGAAUGUGUCAACGAUAUCCUCAACAUCAUAAGCAACAUUUCUAAUAUCCGAAAACCAGUUGCGCACUCUCUCAUCAUCAUCUUGCUUUGCAUCUGCAUCCCUCAAGAAACAUCGCAUCCGUAUAAAUUCAUCUUGUAGACGCACAACUUCAUCUAGAACAUUUUUUUUAAAAUCAAUCUCUUAUAGUAUGUAAACUAGCCUUUCUACCACAAUGGAAACAGCAGCUUCAGCCAUGCCAAAACACUUUAAUAUCUUCUAAUUGAUCUGAAAUGCGUUUGUCCCGAAUAAAGGAACUACAAUUCAAUUCAGUUUACUCUUACAUUCAAACCCAGAAGAAGCUUUGGUGUUUAUCAAAGAUGCAGGAGUCAACAUCAACAGAAAUCCACCCUCUCUUUUACCUCAAAAGUCAUCAAACCCACAGUUUCAUCUCACUAUAUCCGCUUAUAUACUCUUAGAUCUAGCAUACUAUCUAUGGAGGUUAAUUUCUUGUAGAUCUAGUUUGAUAGAGAAAAAAAAGAAGACAACUCAGUAAAAACUUAACUUUUCUCAUAGCUUAUCAUAGUCAUAGAAGUGUUCAGAUCUCAUCUUUUGGAGGGGGCAGUGGAACUGUGGAAGGUGUUCCAGUCCAGGCUUUGUAGCUUCAGCAGCUUGUAAAUAUCGCCAAAAAGGUUUCCCAGUACAAGCCGAGUUGCUCCAGCUUGUGGAUGUUGUUGUAAUCCAUCUUCCAGGUGCAAACAUGGACUUGUUUGCUUGUCUUGUUAGCUGGGUCACUUUUGAAGUUAGAUCUAAGUUUCUGUCUGGAUUGAAGUUCUGAUGUAAAGUCUCUUAUCAAUCCGCGUAUGGUUUAGCACGUUGUAAGUAAACGCGGUAUUGUAACUCUUCUGCAGCAAUAAUGAUAUAAGGUUUUGGCGUUUUACUUUGUUUUGGUUCACAACGGCUUUAAGUCACUAAUAAUGACCCUUUCGAGAAAGGUUGCUUUGGUUCGCAAUGGCUUUAAGUCAAUGAUAAUCGACCCUUUCUAGAAAGAGGCAAUGAAGGGUUUUAGGUGUGAACUGAAAUGCCCCCGGUAUGGCACAAAGCAGACCUUUUUUCUACUAAUUGAAAGAUGAAAAACAGCGAUUUGUUUCGCACCUUGUAUUCUCUCUUUGCGCCGCCCUAUCUCACCAGACAACCUUGUUCAUCUCUUACUCUCCCUCUAUCAGUUUUUUUCUCUGUUCUUCCUAGUAUCGAUCUGAUUGAAGUUUGACGGCUGCUUGGAAAUCUGUAUGAUCAUGUCGUACAAAGGAACAGAACCUGCAGCAUAGCCCAUUAGGCCUCCAUUAGAGGGGUAAGGCAGUAAAAUCCCGUCUACUUAUGGUCAGCCCUCCAAUUUCCAUUCUGACUCUGUACAUUCUCCUAUUGUUGGGGCCAUUAGAUUUUCAGUUUUGUAUCAUUUCUCUUCCUCCAUUGUCAUAAGCGUCCAUUUUCAAUCUUACGGUCAUGGAGAUUUCUUGCUUUCAUAGUUUGGUGUUGUUAGUUCACUUCUUUAUAUUGUGCACAACCCGUCUUCACUCAUUAAUCACUGAUCAAUCUGCGCUUCUGGCCUUGAAAGCCCAUAUCAAUCCCGAAACUCAAAAUAUCUUGGCAAACAAUUGGACAACAGCUACUUCUGUUUGCAAUUGGAUUGGUAUUACUUGCGGUGGCCAACCCCAGAGGGUCAUAGCCUUGAAUAUUUCUUCCAUGGAUCUAGAGGGCACCAUCCCUCCACACAUUGGAAACUUAUCUUCCCUACAAAUAAUUGAUCUCAGCUUUAAUAGACUAUCUGGUAGACUUUUCUUUUUCUUUUUUUUUUUUCUCAACCUUUUAAUAAACAAAUUGUUCAUGAGGUGAUCUAUCUUGAUGAUAAUGUCUUUGUAGGUACAAUUCCUGGGGAAAUAGGUUAUCUAACCAAUGUAAAGAAUCUGAACAUUUCAUAUAACCACCUUACAGGUGCAAUUUUAUUUGCCUUUUUUAAUAUUUGCCAAGAUAUGCCAUCAUACUUUUUAGUGUUUGAACUGCUUGAAUUUAUCCAGGUCACAUACCAAGCCGUAUUGGAAACUGUACAUUGCUCGAGGAAAUAAACUUCAGUGAAAACAACUUGACAGGUACUUUAUGCUUUUGUAGUUACAGCAUUAUCAGGCUGUUUGCUUAGGUCCCAACUCCUCAAACAAACUCCAUAUUGAAAAGGUUUGAGUUUGCCGCUGGAUCUGUACUGGUGCUGGUUGAUUAGAUGGAUCUUGGCAUAAAAUGGACUGUGGGGAAAGACGCUCCGGUGAGAGGGGGGUUGGAUGAUUUGUGUACUCUUAGCUGAGCCUGUGUAUACAAUGUCCUGUCAUGGAGGUAGUGUUAUGGCUGUGAUAAUAUUGCAUUACAAAGAAAUACCCUGCAUUACUAGGAGCCAUCAACACUAAAUGAAAAUUGUGCAGCUCCAUACCUCAUUUCUUUAGGAGAUAGAAAUAUAGUAUGGAAUCAAGUAGGAUAGCGUAGCGUGUGAACUUUUUGUCAUACAGAAGGACAGAUCAUAGCAUCUUUUCUGGAGCUAGAAUCCACCAUUGCGUAUUUUAGGGAGGUUGCUUUAUAUUGUCCAUUAUAAGUUCAUGUUUAUUUAUUUCCUUCUGUAGCUAGGCUUGAUCUGGAAACAACCUUCUUGAAAGAUUACAUUUCUUCCUCUUUGUACUUCUUAAUGCAAUAAUUGUUAAGAAUUGUGAGUAGAAACAGCAGAAUUAAAAUGCUGAAGUAAAUAUUGGUGGUUUCCGCUUUGUCCAGGUGCACUACCACCGGAGAUUGGAAAUCUUUCCAACCUAAAGGCAUUGAGAGUUAAUAAUAACGUCUUAAGGGGCAUUAUUCCGUCAACAAUCUUCAAUAUCUCAGCAUUACAAGUUGUCUUGCUAUAUGAAAACUCUCUUUCAGGAAACCUUCCAUCAAGUAUAGGCUUCUUCCUUCCAAAUCUUGCCGAGCUUCACCUUCGGGGAAAUGAACUUCAAGGAAUAAUUCCUAGCUCCAUCUCUAAUGCAUCAAAACUCACUCUCUUGGACUUGACAGAUAACUUCUUUACUGGCAGUAUUCCUAAUUCUAUUGGUAAUCUGAGAAAUCUCCAGAAACUUGAAUUAGCCCAGAAUAACUUAACCAGUGAAUCCUCCAUGGUGGAAUCAAAUUUUAUUUCUUCAUUGACACAAAACAGCCAUUUGAGAAGGAUUGUGCUAUCAGGCAAUCCUCUUGGUUCCAUCCUCCCCAUGUCCGUUGGUAAUCUCUCAGCUUUUCUUGAAUACUUUUUGGUGUCUGAUUGCAAACUUAAGGGCUUCAUUCCUGCUGAACUUGGCAAUUUAAGCAGCUUGAUAGCCUUAGAGCUGGGAAAAAAUGAACUGACUGGUAUUAUUCCAAAUACAAUUGGAAAACUACAAAAGCUGCAAGGUUUGCACCUUCAAAGCAAUAGAUUGCAAGGAACCAUCUUGUAUGAUCUUUGUCAAUUGAGCAGCUUGGUGGAAUUAUUCUUAGGUGGUAAUGAGCUUUCUGGAUCAAUACCAGAAUGCUUGGGUAAUCUUAAAGCUCUAAGAAAUAUCAGCUUAGGCUUUAACAGGUUAACUUCCAUGAUACCCUCAAGCUUGUGGAGCCUAAAUGAUAUCCUGGCCAUAGACUUGUCAUCAAAUUCUCUACAGGGGUCUCUUCCAUUAGAAAUUGAAAAUUUGAAGGUUGUGACUGAAAUUGAUUUGUCAAAUAAUCAGUUAUCAGGUUACAUUCCUAACAGCAUUGGGAAUCUCAAAAUGCUUGUGUAUCUUUCUUUAGCAGAAAAUAAAUUACAAGGCUCUAUUCCAGAAUCUUUUAGUGGUUCUAUAAGCUUAGAGUUCUUGGAUCUUUCUGUUAACAACCUCUCUGGAGUAAUUCCUAUGUCCUUGGUAAAGCUCCUUUAUCUUCAAUAUUUUAAUGUGUCUUCUAAUGAACUCCAAGGAGAAAUUCCCAGUGAAGGACCCUUUGCUAAUUUCUUAGCCCAAUCAUAUGUGAUGAAUAAAGCACUUUGUGGUGCAGCACGAUUGCAAGUUCCACCAUGCAAAACUGGUACCUCCAAAGGAACACGGAGAACUCUUUUUCUAUUUCUCAAGAUUUUUUUUCCAAUGAUUGCAUUAUGUUGUAUGCUAUUACUGAUCCAUGUGUUGGUAAAACAGUACUUCCAAAAAGGGAUGAUAGCUGUUCUUCCAACAAAAAGAAGAACAAUUUUGUACCAAGAAAUUGCGCUAGCAACAGAUGGAUUUAGUGAAAGUAACCUACUUGGCACUGGGGGUUUUGGUUCUGUUUACAAGGGAACAAUGAAAGAGGAGAAGAAUGUUGCAAUAAAGGUUUUCAAUAUGCAUACAGAAAGAGCAAUAAGGAGUUUUGAGGAUGAAUCCAAGUUAUUGUCCAUUAUUCAUCAUCCUAAUAUUGUCAAACUCAUUAACAGUUGCCGUGAUGAUGAUUUCAAAGCCUUGGUGCUAGAAUACAUGCCUAACGGGACCUUGGACAAGUGGCUUUACACUCAUAAUUAUUUUCUGAAUCUCUUGCAAAGACUUGACGUAAUGAUAGAAGUUGCAUCAGCAAUGCUUUACCUUCAUGCAAGACAUGCUGUUCACUUUGAUUUGAAACCUAGCAAUAUCCUGCUAGACGAAGAUAUGGUCGCUCAUGUUAGUGAUUUCAGCAUUGCCAAAAUCUUAGAUGAGCAGAAGGCUGUAAAACAAACCUCAACCUUGUCCACUGUUGGGUAUAUGGCACCAGGUAAUGUUUCUAUUUUGAUUUAUAUUUGCAUUAUAUAAUUCAUGUAUGCAUGUAAUUUUUCUUUAUCUGAAUAAUGCAUUUCUAUCUUACAUAUAGAGUAUGGAUCAAGUGGAAUUAUAUCUGAAAAAACAGAUGUGUAUAGCUUUGGUAUUCUACUGAUGGAAACAUUUACCAGAAAGAAACCCACAGAUGAAAUGUUUGAUGGAGAAAUGAACUUGAGGCGCUGGGUAUGUGAGUCAUUACCUCGUGCGGUAGAUAGAAUAACAGAUGUAGCUUUACUUGAGGCUGAUCAGGAAGCCAUAUCUGCCAAAAGAAAAUGUAUACUAUCAAUCAUGAAAGUGGCUAGGUUUUGCACUGCAGAGUUGUCUGUUGAGAGGAAGACUAUGAGAGAAGUUGAAGAAGAGCUCCAGAGGAUCAAAAAAAAUUAUUUAAGAGACAGUGAAUGUCAAGUCCAAAGAGAAAUAUAUCCAAGUAUUUCACGGCAAGAACUUCUAUUAGCAACGGAUGGCUUUAAUGAAAGUCAAAUAGUUCAGUAUGGGGAAUUUGGUGUCUUGUACAAAGGAAAAAUGCCAUCACCAUAUGGGCAUGAUGUAUACAGAGCAAUAAAGGUUUUUAAUCGAAUAAAAAGAGGGCGGGAGAGUUUUGCAGUUGAAUCUGAAGCACUGUCCUUUAUUCGCCAUCGGAAUGUUGUCAAAAUCUUGAAGAUGUGCAAUGAAGUUGAUUUUAAAGCAUUGGUUCUGGAGUACAUGCCCUAUGGAUCUCUGGAACAAUGGCUUCAUUACAAUGAUGAUGACAGCCCCUUAAGGAAUAUCUUGACAAUGCUUAAUACAAUGAUAGAUGUGGCAUCAGCUUUGUGCUACCUCCAUACAAUGUGUGUCAUUCACUGCAAUUUAAGACCUAGCAACGUUCUACUAGAUAAUGACAUGGUUGCACAUGUUAGUGAUUUUAGCAUUGCCAAACGCGUAAGUGAAAGAACUGCAGCAACAAAAACCGCGACUAAGGCCACUGCUGGAUAUAUGGCUCCAGGUGACGUUUCUCAUCAUGUUCAACUACAAAAUAUCAUAACAUCAUGCAUUAUAUUGGAUUUUUUAUACUUAAUGCAUUGAUACUGUUUUGAUGUAGAGUAUGAAUCAACUGGAACUGUUUCUGAUAAAACUGAUGUUUAUAGCUUUGGUAUUCUACUGAUGGAAACAUUUACCAGAAAGAAGCCCACAGAUGAAAUAUUUAACGGUGAAAUGAACCUCAGGCAUUGGGUAUGCUCUUCAUUACCUCAUGCAGUUGAGAGUAUUGUAGAUUUCACUUCGCUGCAAUCUUGUUGGAGAGACUUAGCUGCUGAUAGGACAUGUAUAUUAUCAAUCAUGGAAGUGGCCUGUGGUUGUACUGCAGAGUCGCCCGAUGAUAGAAUGACUAUGACAGUAGUUGCAACCAAGCUCGUGAGGAUCAAAAAAGAGUAUCUAAGUGGGAGGAGAUAGCUUUAAUAUGACACCACAGAUUUUUUUUCCUUUUACUUCUUUUACUUUUUCCUCUCUUCUCUUGUUCCUGCUUUUCUAAAUUAAGGGGUAACAGGUUGUUCCUGUCAGAAACAGGGCGCAGAAGAGUGCUUUAGUGAUUCAUCACAUGAUAAAACAUGUUUUUCUUGUAUGAUUUUGUUCAUUAAUUCAGAACCAAUAUACAUCUCUACCCUUUUUAAAUUAAAAAUAUACGUCUCUCCUUUAGCAUUGCUGUAGGACAAUUUAAAAACUAACCAGACUAAAACUGCGGAAAUAAUAGCCUUAUUGUUAUCAAACUUGAUUACAGGUUUGUUACCUUUUCGACUAAGGUGCAAAGUGACUCCAAGAUUUUUGUUUUGACAUUUCAUGAACUUUUCUUUGAUCAACUCGUAGUGAAAAAUUGCUACAGUGGUUGAGUAGGAUCCUCAUUGAUCACAGUGCAAAAACCAUUUGACUUGGCAAUGAAGGGAGAAAAUUUAUUCAUCAGUGUAAGUAGAAUCUGUUUUUCAUAUAAAAUCACGAUAUUGAAAAUCCACAUAAAACGUAUUUGCCUAAAAGUAAAAGAAAAAGAAAGAACUCUUCAUUGGUUUCCAACAAUGCAAAACAACUUUGAUAUUAUAUGGAGUAAUAGUGCUUGGCUACGAAUAUUUUUCUCAAGUCUGGAACAGAAACAACAUUGUAGCCGUCAAACAUAGCAAGGCUAUUAUAAGACAUUGAAUUCCACCAAUGAUAUACCCACUUGAAGUGGGAAUAACAAUUGAAGGAUUGUUGUUCUUCGACGCAGGCUGCGGAAGUGUAGUUCCAGGCUGUGCUUCAGGGGCACCAACAGUCGAAGAUGUUUGAUCACCUUCGACGUUUACUUGAAGCUUCAUGCCUCCAAGACAAUGCAACCUGUUACCAUAAACGAAAUAUCUGGCACCAACAUUUGACAAUGUAACAGUUGUGUUCCCAUUGGAAAAUGUUCUCAGAGUAUCCGUUGUGUUGCAAGUUUUGAAACUUUUUUUGGUUACCUCGCUUACACUGUGAUAUGAUGAGUGUUGGAACACUACAAGAAACAGAAAACAAAUGAAAUUUGUCACUAAACUCAACAGAAGAAAGGAUAUUAGGGUUCCUUAAUUGCUUGUGACAUGAACAAAAAAAAAAAAAGAAAACUCGUUAUCUUUUCUAAGAUGGCAACAAGACACUUGCAUAGAACAUCACCAACAUUGAAUCUCUUGUCACUAACCCAUGAAUCAAUGUCAGUACUUAUGUCCCAGCCGGAUGUGUCCCCAACCACGUACGUUGUAGCAUCACUUGUUAAUGCAAAGCAGAAAAGAACAAGAAAACAAAGCAGAAUCAGCUUGGCCAUGAAUGAGAGAUUAAUUGAUGUUUUUGAGAUGAUGAAAUUUGGCAUUGUAUAUGUACCUCAGGGUUGCUUAUUAUUAGAUGACCUACCUUUAGAACUGCAAAUAUCCUUUUGUUUGUUGUGUCAUAUAUAUUUAUUAUUUUUUAAUGAUUGACAUUGAGUGAAGAACUAAGAAAGAUAUCUAAUUAUUAGCCAGGCCCUUUUGGACCUUUCCUUUUCCAUUGUUUUUGUUGCAAUUGGAAAACAAGUGGUUAAAAUUUGUUGGGUUACAUUAAUAUGGCUGCUUUGCUGUAAAUCUAGUUAAAUCACUAGUUAAUACCCAACCUCCGUUUUGGUCACCCCUGGAACUCUCUGUAACGCCAGUUCAACGCCCCAAAACCACCCCGCACCGAACUGAGCAAACUGCUGACCAGGAGCCGGGACGUCGUCGUCCGGACCCUGAGCGAUGGCGGAGUUUUCCAUUGACGGCGUUGGCUUGUUGUUGGCUCCGAAGCCGAGGUUUUUCAGGAUGUUCAUGCGGGAUUUGUAGACGAAAAUGGAUCGUUUGGCUUGAGGGAAAGGGAAAGAAAGUCGAGAGAAAGAGAAGGGAAGUUUUGGAGAGAUCGAAAAGAAAGGUUUAGAAAUGAGAGAAGAAGAAGAAGAAGAAAAAGAAGUGGCAAGUGUAAGACUCCGUAGCAUUGUUCUUGGGUAUUGGAGUUGGAAAGAACAACAACGGUGACAAUUAUUUUGCUUGUAAAAAAAAUUUUUUUUUGGGGAUUCUUUCUAAUUUUUCAUUUUAAAAAAAUAAAUUAUUUAUUAUGGUGGUUUGCUUUUUCGGUAAAAUGUCAACAACAAGAUUGCUUUAUCUUUUAAAAAGUGGGUGUAAAUUAGAUUUUUUUAAUUAAUUUUUAGUAUAUAUUACCUUAUUAAUUUUGUAUGUAAAAUUUAAAAAAGUAAAAAUAAUUUUUUAGUGAGAAUAGAUAAACUACUAGAUAAGAAUGGAUGACUGUGAGUAUGAUUCUUUUGACAAUGGAAUUAAAAUUGGGGGAUGAUGAUGGUUACUUUUGUACUCUUUCGGGGUUUAUCUAUUUUUUUACUUUUUUGGCGUUGAAUGGAAUGUGGUGGAGGGGGCAGUUGUUACUGACCUUCGAAAGAAGAGUCUAGAACAGUAGCAAGUGUGGUAACAAACGUCAACAAAUGUGUGGCCAUGCCAGCCACACUGUGCAAUUUCAGUGGGUUUUUGGGCCUUUUUCAUCUCAUGAAGAAACGAGCUCGGCCCACUCUAUCAUAAUUAAUCAGGUCAAAACUUUACUUUGGAGUUGGGACAUUGAUUUCAGACAUAUGAACAAGUGAUCCAAUCUGUUACAUGUUCCUUCGACAAUGUAGUUUCUAGCUGCCACCGACAGAAUCUGUCAUCAACCUUCAUAAAUUACUAUAGCAACAUUUUAAAUGUGUUAAUCUUUCAACGUUUGAAUAGGACGACGGAGUGAUUGCUCUUCUUCCCAGUGAAUUCUCUUACAUGAAAUUGAAUCUGGUGUGACCUUGGAGGGUUAGGUCAGGAACAAGGUACAUAAAUCACAACAAAAAGUUUCAGUUGUAAGACUAAGAGAUCCAAAUCUGUAUGAAGCCAUGAAUAGUUUAUGGUUUAAGGUAUUGCCAUUUGCUACAAUCUUUAUUGAAACUGCAAAUUAAACAAACAAGAUAGAGGGAACAUGUUGCACUUUGUAAAAAUCUUCACCUCGAAUCCUAUCCACGAAUGAUUUUGGCAUUUCUUCAAUGUCCAACUCACGUAGGGCACUAAGGGAUCUUGUUCCUUCAGGGAGCAUCUUUAAGUUUCCACAAUUGAUGAUCCGGAAACUCCUAAGCCUUACAACUGCACCUUCUUCAAGAUUUAACUCUUCCAAGGAUUCCAAGGAGUGAAACUCCAGGAACUCAAGUUGAGGAAAGCCACUGACAGAUAUUGCCAUUUUGUCUCCAUCAUAGGAACGUGCUUUUAGUCUCAGAAUCAAUAAUCUUGGCAAGUUCUCUAGUAUCCCCACUGAAGCUUGCUUGAGAUGAGUAUGUGCUAAUGUCAACUGAGACAGAUUUGGUGGGAAUUCCUGCGAGCUAGGUAAUUGCCUUAUCGUUCCUCUCAUAUGCAACUUGACUAGAUUUUGAAGAGCAGAAAAUUGUGUGAACAACGGAAAAUCAGCAUCUUCGGUACGCAGGUACAGGGACUGAAGUUGUACAAGUGCCACAAUGGAGUUGAAUAUUUCAUUAGCUUGCAAGCUGAAGUUUCCUCUGAUUCCCAAUUUCCGCAGGCUGGUUAAAUUUGCAGAGUUGUUUUGCAUCCAUUUUUCGACAUUUAUCUCUGAUAAAGCUUGGAGAUGCUGUAGUGUGUCAAUUCGCAUUGGCCCCCCAUAUUUAUGCCCACACAUAUAAAGAGAUCGUAAUUUUGUUAGCUUCCAUAUUACAUUGGGAAUUGUUUUCAGAUGAAGAUUUGCAGCUACAUCAAGAGUCUGUAGGUUUCGCAAAGAACCUAUGGCUGAUGAAAGCUCCUGUAGGUUCGUCUCCUUUAGCCCCAAGUACUUCAAAUGAAUGAGUAACCCAAUUACGCUCGGAAUGGUAGUACAUGGUAUACCCUCCAACUCCAGAAUUCUGAGCAAUUUGAAAUUUUUGCCAACAUAAUCUAAAUCGCUGCCUUCCAUCUUGUAAGGAUCAUUUCUAUAAUACUUAACCUGGUUUUUGUGAUGAUCAACUCUAAAGAAGAGAAGUGUGCGGAGAUGGGGAUUUGUAUGCUUGCAUUGUCGCCAAUUGAAGGUAGAGUAGAUGGCAUGACGACGACAUCUAGCUGAAGGAUGUGUAUUUUGACUCCCUUGAAUUUCAUGAAAGCUCUCAGCUUUGGCCUUCGAGAUGGAGAGGUCUCGUAGUAGAUCAUGAAGACGACAUUGUUUAACUCUGUCGCUGACACUCAAUUUGGCUACUUGAACCAUGUUUCUCUCAAUUAACUCAUUCAAGUAAUCCUCUGCUACAUCCUCCAUCCUUUCACCUUGCUCUGGUAUCAAACCCUCCGCAAUCCAUAGCCUAAACAAUUUAUGCGAGGGAAUGGGGUGGUCUUCAGGGAACUGUCCGAGAUGGAGGAAACAAGAUUUGAGGUAAUAUGGCAAAUCGUUGUAACUCAAAGCCAGUAUAGCUGAUACCCCAUUUGGGUCUUGAGCAAAGAAUGAGCUCAUAUUGGAAAGAAC
RNAcentral lists this long non-coding RNA (11905 nucleotides) under Durio zibethinus. Its description in RNAcentral is "long non-coding RNA (DZIB_LNC002152)". Lineage: Eukaryota; Viridiplantae; Streptophyta; Magnoliopsida; Malvales; Malvaceae. The record is from RNAcentral.